This 258-nucleotide unclassified non-coding RNA is filed under the name Hevea brasiliensis (rubber tree). Lineage: Eukaryota; Viridiplantae; Streptophyta; Magnoliopsida; Malpighiales; Euphorbiaceae. The record is from RNAcentral.
UUUUGGAGUGAAUGCUGCUGUAAGGUUUGUUACUUCAUAUAAACAGGAUUUUUUCUUACAUACUCGAUCGAUAUAAGAUAUGUAGUAAAAUUCAAUUAUUAGAUACAGGAGUUCUAUGUAUUUAUAUUUUGAUUUCAUGAUAAAUUAAGUCUAUAUAAGAAUUUCCUAUUCCAUUCACCACAUAAGCGAGAAUUUUAAUUAAUAUAAGCAUGCAAAGAGCUAAGCUGGCUAGGCAUUGCAUUUUAUGAUGGAUGAUGA